RNAcentral lists this ribosomal RNA (274 nucleotides) under uncultured bacterium. RNAcentral describes it as "partial 16S ribosomal RNA". It matches the Rfam family "Bacterial small subunit ribosomal RNA", at positions 523 to 796 of the family's 1533-position model. The record is from RNAcentral.
AUACAGAGGGUGCGAGCGUUAAUCGGAAUUACUGGGCGUAAAGCGCGCGUAGGCGGCUACUUAAGUCAGAUGUGAAAUCCCCGGGCUCAACCUGGGAACUGCAUCUGAUACUGGGUAGCUAGAGUUUUGGAGAGGGAAGUAGAAUUUCAGGUGUAGCGGUGAAAUGCAUAGAGAUCUGAAGGAAUACCAGUGGCGAAGGCGACUUCCUGGCCAAAAACUGACGCUGAGGUGCGAAAGCGUGGGUAGCAAACAGGAUUAGAAACCCCAGUAGUCC